This 497-nucleotide ribosomal RNA is filed under the name uncultured bacterium. RNAcentral describes it as "partial 16S ribosomal RNA". It matches the Rfam family "Bacterial small subunit ribosomal RNA", at positions 28 to 507 of the family's 1533-position model. The record is from RNAcentral.
GAUGAACGCUGGCGGCGUGCCUAAUACAUGCCAGUCGAGCGAACAGACGAGAAGCUUGCUCCUCUGACGUUAGCGGCGGACGGGUGAGUAACACGUGGAUAACCUACCUAUAAGACUGGGAUAACUUCGGGAAACCGGAGCUAAUACCGGAUAAUAUAUUGAACCGCAUGGUUCAAUAGUGAAAGACGGUUUUGCUGUCACUUAUAGAUGGAUCCGCGCCGCAUUAGCUAGUUGGUAAGGUAACGGCUUACCAAGGCGACGAUGCGUAGCCGACCUGAGAGGGUGAUCGGCCACACUGGAACUGAGACACGGUCCAGACUCCUACGGGAGGCAGCAGUAGGGAAUCUUCCGCAAUGGGCGAAAGCCUGACGGAGCAACGCCGCGUGAGUGAUGAAGGUCUUCGGAUCGUAAAACUCUGUUAUUAGGGAAGAACAAAUGUGUAAGUAACUAUGCACGUCUUGACGGUACCUAAUCAGAAAGCCACGGCUAACUACGUG